GACGAACGCUGGCGGCGUGCUUAACACAUGCAAGUCGAACGGUGAACCUUCCUUCGGGGAGGGGAUCAGUGGCGAACGGGUGAGUAACACGUGAGCAACCUGCCCCUAGCUCUGGGAUAACCCCGGGAAACCCGGAGCUAAUACCGGAUACGAGACCAAGCGGCAUCACAUGGUCUGGAAAGUUUUCGGUCUAGGAGUGGCGUCGCGGCCUAUCAGCUUGUUGGUGGGGUAACGG
RNAcentral lists this ribosomal RNA (235 nucleotides) under uncultured bacterium. RNAcentral describes it as "partial 16S ribosomal RNA". It matches the Rfam family "Bacterial small subunit ribosomal RNA", at positions 28 to 263 of the family's 1533-position model. The record is from RNAcentral.